UACAGAGACUGCAAGCGUUAUUCGGAUUCACUGGGCGUAAAGGGUGCGCAGGCGGCCAAGUGUGUGAGGCGUGAAAGCCCGGGGCUUAACCCCGGAAUUGCACCUCAAACUACUUGGCUAGAGCAUUGGAGAGGGUAGCAGAAUUCAUGGUGUAGCAGUGAAAUGCGUAGAUAUCGUCAAGAACACCAAUAGUGAAGACAGCUUACUGGGCUUAAACUGACGCUGAGGCACGAAAGUGUGGGGAUCAAACAGG
RNAcentral lists this ribosomal RNA (253 nucleotides) under uncultured bacterium. RNAcentral's name for it is "partial 16S ribosomal RNA". It matches the Rfam family "Bacterial small subunit ribosomal RNA", at positions 524 to 776 of the family's 1533-position model. The record is from RNAcentral.